This 77-nucleotide transfer RNA is filed under the name Lachnospiraceae bacterium. RNAcentral describes it as "tRNA-Ala". It matches the Rfam family "tRNA". From Rfam's summary of the family: Transfer RNA (tRNA) molecules are approximately 80 nucleotides in length. Their secondary structure includes four short double-helical elements and three loops (D, anti-codon, and T loops). Further hydrogen bonds mediate the characteristic L-shaped molecular structure. tRNAs have two regions of fundamental functional importance: the anti-codon, which is responsible for specific mRNA codon recognition, and the 3' end, to which the tRNAs corresponding amino acid is attached (by aminoacyl-tRNA synthetases). tRNAs cope with the degeneracy of the genetic code in two manners: having more than one tRNA (with a specific anti-codon) for a particular amino acid; and 'wobble' base-pairing, i.e. permitting non-standard base-pairing at the 3rd anti-codon position. The record is from RNAcentral. Lineage: Bacteria; Bacillati; Bacillota; Clostridia; Lachnospirales; Lachnospiraceae.
GGGGCAUUAGCGCAGUUGGGAGCGCGCUACAUUCGCAUUGUAGAGGUCGUGAGUNNGUUCGAAUCUCAUAUGCUCCA